Molecule: long non-coding RNA, 600 nt
Filed under: Anser brachyrhynchus (Pink-footed goose)
Lineage: Eukaryota; Metazoa; Chordata; Aves; Anseriformes; Anatidae
Description: lncRNA (ENSABRG00000007846.1)
Source: RNAcentral
CAGCAGUCAAAAUUCAAUGUUUUUGCAAUCAGCUUGAUAGUCCUAAAGCAGGAGAGGCUGGGAGAAGUGUCCUAAAACCUCCUGCUUGCUAGAAAGAGGUGGACAGACACAGGGGCCUCGUGGCACUGGGAGCUGGCUACAAGUUCUGGGUCUUGACUGAUCUACUGCUCACAAGUGUUAGGAUUUAAUCCAAACCUCAGCAUAAUGGUGAAACCAUCUCAGUGCACGUGGAGGCAGAGCAGUGUACAAGGCAGUAAACCGAAUCUGUUUGAAGUCAGAAGUGUUUCCACCAGAUUCAUGAGUCAGACCCAGGAAGGUUUUCACAGGAGUUUGAGACGGCUGCAGACCUCGAGCCCCUUACCUGAAUGUCAGUCUGCUUGACAAAAGCUUGAAACAGAGUUCAAGGUCUAGUCAAAAGCCUUUCUGAAAUCAGUCAGAGACUUCUCACUGGCAUCAGGAUAGUCCAGAUGUGUCAUGCUUGUUCCUCAGAUAUGCUUUGGGUUUGAAGACUCCAGCCUUUGGAGAUUGCAGUCCUUUCAGUCAAAAAUGUUUCUAGUUUCUGUGAAUAAAAUAAAUUGUGCGGCUUUGAUAUGGUACUCU